Molecule: ribosomal RNA, 571 nt
Filed under: uncultured organism
Description: bacterial SSU rRNA
Rfam family: Bacterial small subunit ribosomal RNA
Source: RNAcentral
UUGCACCUGAUGAGAGUGGCGAACGGGUGAGUAACACGUAGGUGAUCUACCUAGAAGUUGGGGAUAGCCUGUGGAAACACAGGGUAAUACCGAAUGAGCCUAUAUACAUACGUGUAUGUAGGGAAAGAGGCUCAGGCCUCGCUUGUAGUUGAGCCUGCGGCUCAUUAGCUAGUUGGGAGGGUAAAGGCCUACCAAGGCGACGAUGAGUAGCCGACCUGAGAGGGUGGGCGGUCACACUGGGACUGAGACACGGGCCAGACUCCUACGGGAGGCAGCAGCUAAGAAUCUUCCGCAAUGGUCGAAAGGCUGACGGAGCGACGCCGCGUGGACGAAGAAGGCCGGAAGGUUGUGAAGUUCUUUUCUCAGAGAAGAAUAAGGUGAGGAGGGAAUGCCUCAUUGAUGACGUUAUCUGAGGAAUAAGCCCCGGCUAAUUACGUGCCAGCAGCCGCGGUAACACGUAAGGGGCGAGCGUCGUUCGGAAUUAUUGGGCGUAAAGGGCGCGUAGGCGGCUGAACAAGCCUGGUGUGAAAGGCCACAGCUUAACUGUGGGAGUGCGCUGGGAACUGUUUGG